AGAUAUUUCCCAUUAACGUGAAGGGCUCUGCUGGAAGUCUUGUGACUUUGGUUAGUUGGUUGUGUUCUUGGAUUAUAUCAUAUGCCUUUAACUUCCUCGUGGGUUGGAGUUCCACAGGAACUUUCUUCAUAUUCUCUGGCAUAUGUGGCUUCACCGUUCUAUUCGUGGCAAAACUAGUACCAGAGACGAAGGGGCGUACACUAGAAGAAGUUCAAGAAUCUCUUAAUCCAUGUUCAGCCAAGAGAUGAAUUUGGCAUGACCCAGUUGCAGAAUUGCAUGCACAAUAAAUCCAGCAACAAUUUUCAUAUGAUACAUGAUGAAAAAGAUUUUAUGAAACAAACUUGAUCAUUUUGAAUUUGUAUUGUUGCUUGAAUCGCACUCCAAGAUUUGAUCAUUAUGGAAGUCAAGAGUAUUGCAAUAUCUUUCCGUGAUAUAGUUUGCUAAAAAUAAAUUAAAUUGGAAGGGGAAGUUUGAACAA
This is a non-coding RNA of Cajanus cajan (pigeon pea), 478 nucleotides long. The record is from RefSeq and is a predicted model, not a curated record. NCBI's taxonomy places the organism in Eukaryota, Viridiplantae, Streptophyta, Magnoliopsida, Fabales, Fabaceae.